This is a non-coding RNA of Didymella sp. IMI 355093, 88 nucleotides long. NCBI's taxonomy places the organism in Eukaryota, Fungi, Ascomycota, Dothideomycetes, Pleosporales, Didymellaceae. The record is from the annotation of a GenBank genome assembly.
GUCUCCGUGGCGCAAUGGUAGCGCGUUGGACUUCUACCACCUCUCAUCGGUCAUCCAAAGGCUGCGGGUUCGAGCCCCGCCGGAGAUG